This 434-nucleotide ribosomal RNA is filed under the name uncultured Streptococcus sp. RNAcentral describes it as "bacterial SSU rRNA". It matches the Rfam family "Bacterial small subunit ribosomal RNA", at positions 948 to 1382 of the family's 1533-position model. The record is from RNAcentral. Lineage: Bacteria; Bacillati; Bacillota; Bacilli; Lactobacillales; Streptococcaceae.
AAUUCGAAGCAACGCGAAGAACCUUACCAGGUCUUGACAUCCCGAUGCUAUUUCUAGAGAUAGAAAGUUACUUCGGUACAUCGGUGACAGGUGGUGCAUGGUUGUCGUCAGCUCGUGUCGUGAGAUGUUGGGUUAAGUCCCGCAACGAGCGCAACCCCUAUUGUUAGUUGCCAUCAUUCAGUUGGGCACUCUAGCGAGACUGCCGGUAAUAAACCGGAGGAAGGUGGGGAUGACGUCAAAUCAUCAUGCCCCUUAUGACCUGGGCUACACACGUGCUACAAUGGUUGGUACAACGAGUUGCGAGUCGGUGACGGCGAGCUAAUCUCUUAAAGCCAAUCUCAGUUCGGAUUGUAGGCUGCAACUCGCCUACACGAAGUCGGAAUCGCUAGUAAUCGCGGAUCAGCACGCCGCGGUCGAAUACGUUCCCGGGCCUU